ACCGGUCUUCGGUCAAGGGUAUACGAGUAGCUGCGCUCCCCUGCUAGAACCUCCAAACAAGCUCUCAAGAAUAUAUUUAAUUUACUGCAAUCAUUC
Molecule: small RNA, 96 nt
Filed under: Mesocricetus auratus (golden hamster)
Lineage: Eukaryota; Metazoa; Chordata; Mammalia; Rodentia; Cricetidae
Description: 7SK RNA (ENSMAUG00000004098.1)
Source: RNAcentral